GGGGCAAUAGCUCAGUUGGGAGAGCGCUACGUUCGCAAUGUAGAGGUCGAGGGUCCGAUUCCCUUUUGCUCCA
This 73-nucleotide transfer RNA is filed under the name Planctomycetia bacterium. Its description in RNAcentral is "tRNA-Ala". It matches the Rfam family "tRNA". From Rfam's summary of the family: Transfer RNA (tRNA) molecules are approximately 80 nucleotides in length. Their secondary structure includes four short double-helical elements and three loops (D, anti-codon, and T loops). The record is from RNAcentral. Lineage: Bacteria; Pseudomonadati; Planctomycetota; Planctomycetia.